This 550-nucleotide ribosomal RNA is filed under the name uncultured bacterium. Its description in RNAcentral is "bacterial SSU rRNA". It matches the Rfam family "Bacterial small subunit ribosomal RNA", at positions 355 to 896 of the family's 1533-position model. The record is from RNAcentral.
UAGGGAAUCUUCGGCAAUGGACGGAAGUCUGACCGAGCAACGCCGCGUGAGUGAAGAAGGUUUUCGGAUCGUAAAGCUCUGUUGUAAGAGAAGAACGAGUGUGAGAGUGGAAAGUUCACACUGUGACGGUAUCUUACCAGAAAGGGACGGCUAACUACGUGCCAGCAGCCGCGGUGAUACGUAGGUCCCGAGCGUUGUCCGGAUUUAUUGGGCGUAAAGCGAGCGCAGGCGGUUAGAUAAGUCUGAAGUUAAAGGCUGUGGCUUAACCAUAGUACGCUUUGGAAACUGUUUAACUUGAGUGCAAGAGGGGAGAGUGGAAUUCCAUGUGUAGCGGUGAAAUGCGUAGAUAUAUGGAGGAACACCGGUGGCGAAAGCGGCUCUCUGGCUUGUAACUGACGCUGAGGCUCGAAAGCGUGGGGAGCAAACAGGAUUAGAUACCCUGGUAGUCCACGCCGUAAACGAUGAGUGCUAGGUGUUAGACCCUUUCCGGGGUUUAGUGCCGCAGCUAACGCAUUAAGCACUCCGCCUGGGGAGUACGACCGCAAGGUUG